UCCCAUGUGGUCUAGUGGCUAGGAUCUGUCGUUUUCAUCGCCAUGGCCCGGGUUCGAUUCCCGGCAUGGGAA
RNAcentral lists this transfer RNA (72 nucleotides) under Dendronephthya gigantea. Its description in RNAcentral is "tRNA-Glu". It matches the Rfam family "tRNA". Rfam says of the family: Transfer RNA (tRNA) molecules are approximately 80 nucleotides in length. Their secondary structure includes four short double-helical elements and three loops (D, anti-codon, and T loops). Further hydrogen bonds mediate the characteristic L-shaped molecular structure. tRNAs have two regions of fundamental functional importance: the anti-codon, which is responsible for specific mRNA codon recognition, and the 3' end, to which the tRNAs corresponding amino acid is attached (by aminoacyl-tRNA synthetases). tRNAs cope with the degeneracy of the genetic code in two manners: having more than one tRNA (with a specific anti-codon) for a particular amino acid; and 'wobble' base-pairing, i.e. permitting non-standard base-pairing at the 3rd anti-codon position. Lineage: Eukaryota; Metazoa; Cnidaria; Anthozoa; Malacalcyonacea; Nephtheidae. The record is from RNAcentral.